ACACGACUCUCGGCAAUGGAUAUCUCGGCUCUCGCAUCGAUGAAGAGCGCAGCGAAAUGCGAUACGUGGUGCGAAUUGCAGAAUCCCGCGAACCAUCGAGUCUUUGAACGCAAGUUGCGCCCGAGGCCAACCGGCCAAGGGCACGUCCGCCUGGGCGUCAAGCGUUGCGUCAC
This 173-nucleotide ribosomal RNA is filed under the name Bulbophyllum lindleyanum. Its description in RNAcentral is "5.8S ribosomal RNA". It matches the Rfam family "5.8S ribosomal RNA". From Rfam's summary of the family: 5.8S ribosomal RNA (5.8S rRNA) is a component of the large subunit of the eukaryotic ribosome. The record is from RNAcentral. Lineage: Eukaryota; Viridiplantae; Streptophyta; Magnoliopsida; Asparagales; Orchidaceae.